RNAcentral lists this long non-coding RNA (4784 nucleotides) under Marmota monax (woodchuck). The record is from RNAcentral. Lineage: Eukaryota; Metazoa; Chordata; Mammalia; Rodentia; Sciuridae.
CAUAGAAAUCUAAUAAAAUGUAAAUAUCUAUGUGAAUAAAACUACAAAAUUCUGUAAUCCUAGAGGAUUGGGAGGCUGAGGCAGGAGGAUUGCAAAUUCAAAGCCAGCCUCAGCAACAGCAAGGCGCUAAGCAAUUCAGUGAGACCCUGUCUAAAUAAAAUACAAAAAAAAAAGGGGGGGGCUGGGUAUGUGGCUCAGUGGUUGAGUGCCCCGGAGUUCAAUCCCUGGUACCCACCCCCGCAAAAAAAAAAAAAAAAAAAACCUACAAAAUUAAUAAGAAAUCGAAGAAGAUCAAAAUAAGUAGAGUAGGGGCUGGGGUUGUGGCUCAGUGGUAGAGUGCUUACCUACCAUGUGUGAGGCACUAGAUUAUAAAUAAAUAUACUGUGUCCAUCUGCAACUAAAAAAUAUUUUAAAAAAUAAUAGAGAUACUUUGUUUAUGGACAGGAAGAUUUAACAUUAUUAACUUGUUGGUUCUUUCCAACUUGAUACACAACUUCAACAUAAUCCCAGUUACAAGUACCAGCAAAUUAAGUUUUCAGCAGAUUGAUUCAAAAGUUUAUAUGGAGAGGCAGAAGACCUAGAAUAGCCAGUACAACAGUGAAGAAGCUGAGCACAGUGGCACACAUCUCUAAUCCCAGGAACUAGGGAAGCUAAGACAGGAGGACCAUAGGUUCAAGACCAGCCUGAGCAACUUGGUGAGACCCUGUCCUCUAAACAAAAUAAAAAGGGCUGGGGAUGUGGCUCAGUGGUAAAGCACCCCUGGGUUCAAUCCCUAGUACCAAUAUAUGAAUUAAAUAAAAUACUAAAAGCUACAAUAAUACAGUGUGGUAUUGGCAAAAGAAUAGACAGACCAAUGGAAUGAGUAAGAAUCCAGAAAUAGACCCAUACAAAGGAGCAAAGUCAAUUUGAUAGAGGACUAUCCUUUCUCAGCAAACAAUGCUGGAACAACUGGACAAUCACAUGCAAAAAAAAACUCACAAAAAUUAACUCAUGAUGUAUAAUAAAUGUAAAAUACAAAAAUAUAAAAACUCCUAGAAAAUAACAAGCUAAAUGACCUUGAGUCUUGUAAUAAGCUUUUAGAUAUAACACCAAGACCACAAUCCAUGAAAGAAAGAUUCACAAGUUGGACUUGAUUCAAAUUAAAAACUUCUGCUCAGCAAAACACACUGUUAAGAGAAUGAAAAAGACAGGGGCUGGGGUUGUGGCUCAGUGGUAGAGUGCUCGCCCUAGUGUUUGCAAGGCCCUGGGUUUGAUCCUCAGCACCACGUGAAAAUAGAUGAAUGAAGUAAAGGUAUUGUGUCUAACUACAACUAAAAAAAUAAACAUUAAAAAAAGAGAGAAUGGAAAAGACAAGCCAAGGGCUGUGCAGAAAUAUUUCCAAAACAUAUCAGGUAAAGGUCUUGAAUCUAAAAUAUACAAAGAACUCCCAAAGCUCAACAAUUUGAAUACCUAAUUUGAAAGUGGGCAUAGGAUCUGAACAAGCCUGGCGCUAUGGUGCACACAUGUAAUCCCAGUGUGAUACAUUUGUAACAAUUAAAAAACAAUAUUGAUACUGAUGAUGAACCAAAGUCUAUAGCUUACAUUAGAGUUCAGUGACUUGGGAGGCUGAGAGAGGAUGGUAAAUUCAAGACCAGCCUCAGCAGCCCUGUCUCAAAAUUUUUAAAAAGGCUGGUAAAGUCUCCCUGGGUUAAAUCCCCAGUACAAAAAAAAAAAAAAAAAAUCUGAACAUAUUCCUUACCAAAGAUGAUAGAUAGGUGGCUAAUGGCAUAUGAAAAGGCAUUCAACAUUAUGUCAUUAGGAAAUUGCAAAUUAUAACAAUGAGCUGUGGACAGUGGCUCCCAUUGGUAAUGUCAGCUUCUUGGGGAAGCUGAAACAGGAGGAUCACAAGUUUAAGGUCAGGCUGGGUAACUUAGCAAGAUCCUGUCUUAAAAACAAAAAAGGGCCGGGGAUGGCUGGGUGCAGCGGUGCACAACUGUAAUCCCAGUGGCUUGGGAGGCUGAGGCAGGAGGGUUGCGAGUUCAAAGCCAGCCUCGGCAAAAGUGAGGUGCUGAGCAACUCAGUGAGACCCUGUCUCUAAAUAAAAUACAAAAAAAGGGCUGGAUAUGUGGCUCAGUGGUUGAGUGCCCCUGAGUUCAAUCCCUGGUACCUAAAAAAAUGCUGGGGAUGUAGUCCAGUAGUAGAGCAUCCCUGGGUUCAAUCCCUAAUACUGAAAAAAAAAAAGUGAAAAUAAUACUACACAACUCAGAAUGGCUAAAAAAAAAAAAAAAAUUUUAAUGACAAUACCAAAUGCUGCCAAGGAUGUGGAGCAACAGGAACUCUCAUUCAUUGCCAAUGGAGAUGCAAAAUGGUACAGCCACUUUCAAAGACAGUUUGGCAGUUUCUUAUGAAGCCAAACAUAGUCUUACUAUAUGAUCCAGCUACACUCCUUGGUACUUACCCAAAAGAGUUGAAAUCUUAUAUCCACACAAAAAUCUGUACAUGAAUAUUUAUAGCAUUUUUAUUCUUGAUCAUCAAAAAGCUGGAAGCAACCAAGAUGUUCUUCAAAAAGUGAAUGGAUCAACUAGUACAACCACACAAAGGAAUAUUAUUCAUGAUAAAAAGAAAUGAGCUAUCAAGACACCAAAAGAUAACAGGAGGUUGGCUUGUAGCUUGUAGUAGAGCGCUUGCCUAGCAUUCAUGAGGCUCUGGGUUCCCUCCCUGUACACACACAUACACACACACACAAAAUCAUGGGGCAUGGGGGCACACAUCUGUAAUCCUAGAAACCCUAAGAGGCUGAGGCAGGAGGCUAGCCUCAGCAACUUAGCAAGUCCCUAAUCAAUUUAGUGAAACCCUGUCUCAAAGAAAUAAAAGGGGUAGGGGAUGUAAGUCAGUAGUCAAGUACACCUGGGUUCAAUCCCCAGUACCCAGAAAAAAAAAAGCAGCGGGUAUUCUGGGUGCAGUAACAAGUGCCUGUGUUCCUAGCUACUGGGGAGGCUAAGGCAGAAGAGUCACUUGAACUCUGGAGUUCAAGACCAGCCUGGGCAACGUAGUGAGACUGGCUUCCAAAACAAACCAAGACACAAUAUGAAGGAAAUUUAAACAUAUAUUUCUUAGUGAAAGAAGCCAGUCUGAAAAGGAGAUAUAUAUAUAUAUAUAUAUAUUCUUUGAAUUCAACUAUAUGACUUUCUGGAAAGGGCAAAAACUAGAGAUAGUAUGAAGAUCAGUGGUGUUCCAUUUUUAAAGCGUGCAUGUGUGAGUCACUGGCCCUGCUGAUAGAGAGCCUGGGGCUCAGAUAAAUCCACACAAUGAACGGAUAGCAAAACAGACAUGAGAGAUUGGGACUUCUGUGUUUGUGGUAGGCAAGUGUGACCCCAGAGGCCUGCUGCCUGUCUCUGUGCUUAGGAGCAUGCCAAAAUGUGGUUGCAGAACUUAAAAGGUAAUGAGAAGUUAGCUAGCCCAAAGGCUCUCAGCGCUGGCUAUGGAUCAGAAUCACCCAGGAUACUUUGCAAACUUCCCAUGUCCCACCCCCAGAUAGUCUGUUUUAAUUGGUUUGAAGUGGAACCCAGGCACCCAUCCAUUAUCCUAAAACAUGCUAGAUUCAUUCUAAUGUGCAGCUAGAACUGAGAACCACUGAUCUAGCUCUAUCCACACUAUACAAAUAUGGACAGUGAGUUCCAAAAGGGGGCAAAAGGGGAUAGCUUGCCACCAGGACCUCCAGUGAAUAAGAAAAAAGGCCAGGACAAAUCUCGGAUUCCUAAUCCAGUUCUUUUUUCUUUCUUUUUAUUUUUCCUGGCAGUGCUGGGGAGUCAAACACAGGGCCUUGCACAUAAAAGAAAAUUUCUUGGCACAUGUGGGGCCCCGGGUUCAAUUCCCAGUGACAAGCACACACACAAAGUCACUUUCUUAUGACUACUCUUUGAGCUUCUGUGUACCUGGCAUUGAACUGUGCACUGGACAAUGGAAAUGCACAGAAGAGACCCAGUCCCUGACCUCCUGGAGCCUCCAGAUUACCUGGAAGUCAUAGAACACAAAUACAGAGUUGUGAAUGAUCUCUGAACAUUGGAUUUCACUGUGGACUGUCCUCUCCAGCAUUUCCUGCCAUCAUUGAGUGCCCCACCAUGUGCCAGGAUCUUUGUCAGGCCUAGGGAUACAAACAUGUCUGGCAGGGAAGGUGGGCAGAUGGAAGGCAUUCUGACAGGCACAUGAUGGGAGGCAUGUGCCACUCAGUGGUCCUGCCUCCUACUCCCACUUAUUUCUUUUUCGUAAAUAAAAUACUUUCUGGUCCUAGUGUUUAUACUUAUUUUAUGUUGAUUUAUAAACACGAAGACUGGUCAUCCUUCACCUCUCCAGUAGCCCUAAAAGGAUUUGGUUCAGAACCCCAACUCUGUCUAAUAUGUGUUUAGAUUUCCAGCAAGUUCCUGAAUCUCUGAAUAUAUCUCUCAUCAUGGGUAAAAUGGGUAUUGCUGCCUGCUCUGUUGAUCUCACUGCAUUGUAAGGAGGCUCCAAGUCAUAGUGAGAUCCUGCACAUCAAAGUGCUUUUGAAGUAGUCAUGUGUGCGCGGGAGUAAUGUUUGGUUAUAAGUGCUACAAUGGCUGGCACUGAAUCUGUGUUUUGACCAGAUUCAGGUAGAAGCUAUCAAGCCACACAAAAUGUAGACAAGACUCAGAUUAUUGUUUCCUUCUUUAGAGACAAGGAAACUGGUGCCCUAACAGGUUCAGCUAAUCUCGAUGGUGUGACAGUCACCAAGUGGGUCAGCUGGCCCACUCCAGAGUCCACAUGUCCACCCUCAUGCUUUACUGCCC